GGUGUGUAGCUCAGUGGUAAAGUACACGGUUAGCAUGCAUGAGACCCUAGGUUCCAUCCCUAGCACCA
This 68-nucleotide transfer RNA is filed under the name Marmota monax (woodchuck). RNAcentral describes it as "tRNA.Ala". It matches the Rfam family "tRNA", at positions 5 to 66 of the family's 71-position model. From Rfam's summary of the family: Transfer RNA (tRNA) molecules are approximately 80 nucleotides in length. Their secondary structure includes four short double-helical elements and three loops (D, anti-codon, and T loops). Further hydrogen bonds mediate the characteristic L-shaped molecular structure. tRNAs have two regions of fundamental functional importance: the anti-codon, which is responsible for specific mRNA codon recognition, and the 3' end, to which the tRNAs corresponding amino acid is attached (by aminoacyl-tRNA synthetases). tRNAs cope with the degeneracy of the genetic code in two manners: having more than one tRNA (with a specific anti-codon) for a particular amino acid; and 'wobble' base-pairing, i.e. permitting non-standard base-pairing at the 3rd anti-codon position. Lineage: Eukaryota; Metazoa; Chordata; Mammalia; Rodentia; Sciuridae. The record is from RNAcentral.